Molecule: ribosomal RNA, 434 nt
Filed under: uncultured Ruminococcus sp.
Lineage: Bacteria; Bacillati; Bacillota; Clostridia; Eubacteriales; Oscillospiraceae
Description: partial 16S ribosomal RNA
Rfam family: Bacterial small subunit ribosomal RNA
Source: RNAcentral
ACGGGAGGCAGCAGUGGGGGAUAUUGCACAAUGGGCGAAAGCCUGAUGCAGCGAUGCCGCGUGAGGGAAGAAGGUUUUCGGAUUGUAAACCUCUGUCAACAGGGACGAAAAUGACGGUACCUGAGAAGGAAGCUCCGGCUAACUACGUGCCAGCAGCCGCGGUAAUACGUAGGGAGCAAGCGUUAUCCGGAAUUACUGGGUGUAAAGGGAGUGUAGGCGGGACUGUAAGUCAGAUGUGAAAUAUACCGGCUCAACUGGUAGACUGCAUUUGAAACUGCGGUUCUUGAGUGAAGUAGAGGUAAGCGGAAUUCCUAGUGUAGCGGUGAAAUGCGUAGAUAUUAGGAGGAACAUCAGUGGCGAAGGCGGCUUACUGGGCUUUAACUGACGCUGAGGCUCGAAAGCGGGGGGAGCGAACAGGAUUAGAUACCCUGGUA